GUGCCAGCAGCCGCGGUAAUACAGAGGGUGCGAGCGUUAAUCGGAAUUACUGGGCGUAAAGCGCACGUAGACGGUUUUGUAAGUCAGAUGUGAAAUCCCUGGGCUCAACCUGGGAACUGCAUUUGAGACUGCAAGGCUAGAGUAUGGAAGAGGGAAGUGGAAUUUCCGGUGUAGCGGUGAAAUGCGUAGAUAUCGGAAGGAACACCAGUGGCGAAAGCGACUUCCUGGUCCAAUACUGACGUUCAGGUGCGAAAGCGUGGGGAGCAAACAGGAUUAGAAACCCCUGUAGUCCAAU
Molecule: ribosomal RNA, 295 nt
Filed under: uncultured bacterium
Lineage: Bacteria
Description: partial 16S ribosomal RNA
Rfam family: Bacterial small subunit ribosomal RNA
Source: RNAcentral